UACACGAAAGUUGUCCCUUUAUUAUGGGCAAGAGUUGCGCUCUUAUAUGCAUGAAAAAGACUUCGAAAGAACAAAGAAGUGUGAUCUAAAUCACUUCCUUGCCAUUAUAAGCUUCCUCUUCCACCUCAUUUUAACCGGUGGAAGCGCACUAGCGGCGGGGGAACCUGUCGUUUUUCACCCCGAUUUGGUCCCCGCCGGGGAUGAAGUUUUCCCCGUAGGGGACAACCAAAUUGAUCUGGAGUUGAGACUAGGACCAACCCAAAUUGAUCUAGAGUUGAGGCUAGGGCCUCC
Molecule: long non-coding RNA, 291 nt
Filed under: Oryza brachyantha (malo sina)
Lineage: Eukaryota; Viridiplantae; Streptophyta; Magnoliopsida; Poales; Poaceae
Description: long non-coding RNA (OBRA_LNC003596)
Source: RNAcentral